GGUCAGGGAUGAGUGCUGGCAUGUAUUGUCUGAUUUGGAGUUGAUGUCUGUCCUAGCUUUAGCUCUAGAAUUACUCUGAGACCCG
Athene cunicularia (burrowing owl) is the source of this 85-nucleotide small nucleolar RNA. Ensembl annotates it as small nucleolar RNA SNORD45. The record is from Ensembl. NCBI's taxonomy places the organism in Eukaryota, Metazoa, Chordata, Aves, Strigiformes, Strigidae.